This is a non-coding RNA of Anguilla rostrata (American eel), 563 nucleotides long. The record is from the annotation of a RefSeq genome assembly. NCBI's taxonomy places the organism in Eukaryota, Metazoa, Chordata, Actinopteri, Anguilliformes, Anguillidae.
GUGUAUGAAAAAGGAACAAAAUUUGAAAGAUUAAAGCAAUUCAGAAUACAUAAGAAUAUGACUGCAGACACUGUAAUGCCACUUCCUUUUUACUGCCAGAGAGACUCUCCUCAGGUCAUUCUUCUCUCUCGAGCAGUAAGAGAACUGACAUGACCAGCUCUCUCAUCAGAUUCGCUGUCACACUGCUAUGGGCUACUGUCCUUUGCCUUGAAGUCCGGCAGUCUCCCUCGCUGCUGUGGCUGACGGAAGGCCUGGACGCGUCCGCGGAGAUGCGGUGCGAGCACACGGACGUCAGCCACUAUCAGAUGUACUGGUACCGUCAGCUCCUGGGACGGGGCCUCCAGCUGGUGGUGCUGUCGGACACCCUCAACGCGCCCGACUUCGGGGAGUUCGGCGGGGGGAAGUACGGCGUGGCCAAAUCCGUCGCCCAGGAGGGGAGUUUCACGGUGAAGGAGCCGGCGCCGGAGGACAGCGGGCUGUAUUUCUGCGCCGCCGCCAGUCACAGUGACUCAGAGUCACGCCGGGGCUGUGCAAAAACUCCCCCCGGAGCGCGCGCUGUGUAC